CAGGCGGAAGGGGAGGAAAGUCCGGGCAACGCAGAGCGCCGCGCUUCCUAACGGGAAGAUCUUCGUGAGGGGAUAGCCGCGUAACAGAAAACGACCGCCGCCUUCGGGCGGUAAGGGUGAAAAGGCGGGGUAAGAGCCCACCGCGGACAUGGCGACAUGUUCCGGCCGUACGUCUCGCGGGUUGCAAGACCGUGUAUACCGACGAUUAUCGAGGGUUGCUCGCCCGAUGUCGGGGGGUAGGUUGCUGACGAGCCGGUCGGGUGACCGCCGGCCUAGAUAAAUGGCAGAGGCUUUUCCUCCGGGAAAAGUACAGAACCCGGCUUAUACGCCCUG
This 333-nucleotide RNase P RNA is filed under the name uncultured Alistipes sp. RNAcentral describes it as "Bacterial RNase P class A". It matches the Rfam family "Bacterial RNase P class A", at positions 31 to 359 of the family's 367-position model. From Rfam's summary of the family: Ribonuclease P (RNase P) is a ubiquitous endoribonuclease, found in archaea, bacteria and eukarya as well as chloroplasts and mitochondria. Its best characterised activity is the generation of mature 5'-ends of tRNAs by cleaving the 5'-leader elements of precursor-tRNAs. Cellular RNase Ps are ribonucleoproteins. Lineage: Bacteria; Pseudomonadati; Bacteroidota; Bacteroidia; Bacteroidales; Rikenellaceae. The record is from RNAcentral.